CAUUAGAUGGCUGAAGCGUAAGUACUGGUCUCUUAAACCAUAAAAUAGUAAACUAACAAAUACUUCUGAUG
This 71-nucleotide transfer RNA is filed under the name Tenebrionoidea sp. 19 KM-2017. Its description in RNAcentral is "tRNA-Lys". Lineage: Eukaryota; Metazoa; Arthropoda; Insecta; Coleoptera. The record is from RNAcentral.